AACGGCCGCGGUAUUUUGACCGUGCAAAGGUAGCAUAAUCAUUAGUCUUUUAAUAGGAGGCUGGUAUGAAAGGUUUGACGAAGUACUAUCUGUCUCAAUAAAAUAUUUUUGAAUUUAGCUUUUGAGUUAAAAGGCUCAAAUUUUUUUGAAGGACGAGAAGACCCUAUAGAGCUUUAAGGCUUAUUUAUUAAUUUUAUUUAGUUUAUUUGUUAUGUUAAUUUGUUGGCCUUUUUGUUGGGGUGACAUGAGAAUAUGUAUAACUUUUUUAUUUAUGGGUCAUUUAUUUAUGUUCAUUAGAUCCUUUAUUAUUGAUUAUUAGAAUAAGUUACCUUAGGGAUAACAGCGUAAUCUUCCUCCAGAGUUCAAAUUUACGGGAAGGCUUGCGACCUCGAUGUUGGAUUAAGAUAAUAAUUAGGUGUAGCAGCCUGAUUCAUAGGUCUGUUCGAC
RNAcentral lists this ribosomal RNA (447 nucleotides) under Neurobasis ianthinipennis. Its description in RNAcentral is "partial 16S ribosomal RNA". It matches the Rfam family "Archaeal large subunit ribosomal RNA", at positions 2003 to 2654 of the family's 2987-position model. The record is from RNAcentral. Lineage: Eukaryota; Metazoa; Arthropoda; Insecta; Odonata; Calopterygidae.